This 975-nucleotide long non-coding RNA is filed under the name Olea europaea subsp. europaea. The record is from RNAcentral. Lineage: Eukaryota; Viridiplantae; Streptophyta; Magnoliopsida; Lamiales; Oleaceae.
AAGUAGAUUUCCAACAUGGUUGACUCCUAUUACUCUCCACAUCGAAUGCAAUUUCUAAAUGAGACUGACAAUUGGAAUCUACUUUGUCAGAAGGUGUUUGGGGAAGAUUCUUGCCCUCGUGAACUGGAGGAAGCUGGAAAAAAGAUUGCAAAGAAUUGCAAAGGACUUCCACUUUCCCUCGUUGUGAUUGGCGGCCACCUUUCCAACACCAACAUAAUAAAAGAUCACUGGGAGUAUGUUGUAGAUAAUGUCAAGUCAGUUGUAAAUGCAGCAGAUGAAAAAUGCUAAGAAAUACUUUCUUUAACUUAUAAUUACUUGCCUUAUUAUCUUAUAGCACGUUUUCUCUAUAUGGGAGUUUUUCCAGAAGACGAAAUUCGUGUCUUCAAACUCAUCAAGUUAUGGGCUGCAGAGGGAUUUCUAAAACCAGUCAGAGGUAAAACCUUGGAAGAAGUGGCAGAGAAAUAUUUGGGAGAUCUAAUUUCCAGAAAUCUUAUUUUGAUUAGUGAGAAGAGUUCUAUUGGAAAGAUAAAAAUCUGUAGCAUCCAUGAUCCGUUAAGGGACCUAUGCUUAAGAAAAGCUCAGGAGGAGAGGUUUUGUCAUGAAAUAAUGUUUUUGCUGAAGGCAUAGAGUAUUCACGUAGUCUAUGUAUUCAUCCACAGGAGACUUUUCACAAGGAAUUGUCAAACUGUGACAAUUUAAAUGUCAAUCCGUCCAUGGGAUCCUUGGCACCAGUCCGUUCUAUUUUAUGUUCUGUUUUUGCUAGCGAGAUUUAUAAAUCAAGUGACGAAAAACAUUUUCCACUGCUCAGGGUGUUGGACUGAUGUGAACCCCGUAGCAAUGGAAACUACGAAACCCACAACUAGAUUGAUGUGGAACCCAAGAACGCCAAUACUAAUCCGGUUUUGGAUCUUGAACCCCAAUAAUCGAACCACGAAACCUUAGAUUAGCGAAGAAUCUAAAACCCCUUGAUUACAA